GUGCACCUGGAUUCCCAGACAGGGCCAUCGGAGGCCAGGCAGGAACAUUGCUGGAAUGUGAUGGAUCCAGAGGGGCAGCUGCGGUCUUUGCCAGCGCUUAGGAGCCCUGAAAACACUCGUGGCCAUGUGGACGACUGAGAGGUGUGCACACCUCACUCACUGGCCUGAGAGGGAAGAUGAGAGAGCAGCAGUUUCUGGAUGCAACAGCCCCAGAGGCCUCCCCAGGUCCCAUCUCUCCCACUCUCGGGUCCGACUACUGGCGAGUCACUCCAACAGGCUGACUUCCUGAGCCCAGGGCGGCCAGCAGAUGCUGAGAUCUGCAGGCAGGUGGAGGUGGCAGGGGAAGAAGGCCCGGGAAGAGGCAGCAGGGCUGGACGGCUGGGAGGGGACUAAACCACGGUCUCUUGAGUCACCACCUGAAUCUUACAGCUUGAGAAAGGGAGCAUUUUAUUCUCAAAUUGCUCUUGUUGACAGCAAGAAGGGUGCAUAUACAUUACGGUUCAAUUUCCCAGGCCACUUUCCCACCACGCCUUGUUGGGUCACUCACUGCGGCACUGAGCCGGGCAGGUUAAACGCGUGUCACAGCCUGACCCCCAGAGCCUCAUGCUGAGGAAUGCAGUGCUGGCUGAGCCUGGGGCCAGAGGCUCACUCCAAGCUCUGCACUUAGUGGAACUACAAGGAGAGGAGGCUGAGCGGGGCAGGGUGGCGGAAGAGAGGCAGCAUGGGAGGCGGAAAGGGAGCAAGGCGUGCGAACCUCACAUAAUGAGCUGGACAGCUGGUCAGCGCGGUCCCUGGAAGCCUUUAGAUGUGGAAACCUGAGGAACUGGUCACCUCUAAGGUGACAGAGAGGGAGGAGGAGAAGCCUGGACCCCUGGCCCUGUGCACUCUUCCCAGGGCCCCCCACCUCCUGAAUACCUCUCUCUCCUCAAGCUCCAUGCUCAGCAGGUGCUGGCUACAUUAAAUGGUGUUUUUAAAAUCUCAUCCCAAAACAAUAAAAACAGGAGAUCCCAGUAGACACAGGAGUGUUCAAGAAAAAAAAAAUACAUAAUGGGCUAAGAAAAGCGCUGCAUUUGACAUACAAGUGAGCUUUGCUGGCAGCCACACAAUGCUGGCCUCUUCUCCCUGUAUACUCUCGUGAGCCGGCUUUCCUCAGCUACUGGGGAACAGGAUGUGAUUUUUCUUACGCUGCGUUGAAUGCAAGGAAUUUGUUUGUUUAUUUUCAUUCAUUUCCUAUGGAUACAGGCAGAUGUGUAAGUUGAGCUUUAACUCACAAAAGUGCCCACGGAUGCGUUGAUGUGUUUUAAACCGGGGGCUGCACAGAGGCCUUGCUGCGGCUGUGUCUGCUCCAUCCUGAACCGAUGAUUACAGCCCCAGAGAACCUGAUAUUAAGCUGCUCUUUGAGUCUUAUCCAGGCAUAAUGUGCUGCUCUGUUGAAAGGCUGGCGCCAGGAACCCUGGAAGUUUCUCGUGAGCCUACGCGAAGCAGUGCUGCCCCAGGGAAGCCCCUGGCAGCUCAGGCUUCCAUGGAGUCCAUGUCCACCUGACCCAGUCACUCACAUUUAAUAUUAGGUUGGUGGAAAAUAAUUGCGGGUUUUGCUACUUUUUUUUAGUGACAAAAACGCAAUUUAUUUUGCACCAGCCUAUUAGUAUUUACUGUCCUAAGCUUUUUGUACGUGGCAAACCUCAGGAUACCCCUGCGGAUCCACACGGCCAGCACCCUCAUUUAGAGAUGAAGAGACUGAUGUUCAGAGUGGUUCAGAGAGUCAGAUGAUCUGCCACUCUGCCGGAGGCCGGUUAGA
Molecule: long non-coding RNA, 1798 nt
Filed under: Homo sapiens (human)
Lineage: Eukaryota; Metazoa; Chordata; Mammalia; Primates; Hominidae
Description: non-protein coding lnc-TUBGCP3-17:1
Source: RNAcentral